GCGGCUACCAUGCAAGUCGAGCGAGGACUUCGGUUCUAGCGGCGGACGGGUGAGUAACGCGUGGGAAUGUGCCCUUCUCUACGGAAUAGCCCUGGGAAACUGGGAGUAAUACCGUAUACGCCCUUUUGGGGAAAGAUUUAUCGGAGAAGGAUCAGCCCGCGUUGGAUUAGGUAGUUGGUGGGGUAAUGGCCUACCAAGCCGACGAUCCAUAGCUGGUUUGAGAGGAUGAUCAGCCACACUGGGACUGAGACACGGCCCAGACUCCUACGGGAGGCAGCAGUGGGGAAUCUUAGACAAUGGGGGCAACCCUGAUCUAGCCAUGCCGCGUGAGUGAUGAAGGCCUUAGGGUUGUAAAGCUCUUUCAGCUGGGAAGAUAAUGACGGUACCAGCAGAAGAAGCCCCGGCUAACUCCGUGCCAGCAGCGCGGG
This 428-nucleotide ribosomal RNA is filed under the name Paracoccus yeei. RNAcentral describes it as "bacterial SSU rRNA". It matches the Rfam family "Bacterial small subunit ribosomal RNA", at positions 46 to 521 of the family's 1533-position model. The record is from RNAcentral. Lineage: Bacteria; Pseudomonadati; Pseudomonadota; Alphaproteobacteria; Rhodobacterales; Paracoccaceae.